UGGAUGAUGGGAUAGGACUU
This 20-nucleotide unclassified non-coding RNA is filed under the name Mus musculus (house mouse). RNAcentral describes it as "oocyte_clustered_small_RNA8281". Lineage: Eukaryota; Metazoa; Chordata; Mammalia; Rodentia; Muridae. The record is from RNAcentral.